CGAAUUUCCGGCUUUCAUAAUUUAUAAGUACAGUACUGAACUGAAAAUAUUUAUAGUUAAGGAUCCGUGUCAAAGAUGCACUUCGCCCUUACAUAUGAAAAGUGGUUACUAAACAAAAUUUGCCACACAAGUAUUAUUCCAUUUUACAUAUGCUGUAAAGAUGACAUCACCAUGUGAAAGAUGACUUCAGAAUUUUGUGAUGUUUGCGAGUUACCAGAACUUCCUAUAGAUCCAUUAACAAUCUGGGAACAUAUACCAUGUCCACCAGACGAAUUUAAGGACGAUUUAUUCUCUAACGAUUUACUGACCAAAUUGGGACCAGAACAAGGGAUGUCAAUAAUUCUAAAUAUAGCUAAAAGAUGUGAUAUUAAAGUGCCAAAACUAUUUCCGACAUCGGGUCACGUGAGUGGUGCUUGGAUAUUUGACACGUGUGGUGAGGACUGUAUCUCUACUACUGUUGGGAUUUGUCUUUCUGUUCUUCUAGUCAUGGUUGUAAUAACACUCGCCGGCUUU
Molecule: long non-coding RNA, 513 nt
Organism: Mytilus trossulus (common blue mussel)
Lineage: Eukaryota; Metazoa; Mollusca; Bivalvia; Mytilida; Mytilidae
Exons: 3
Source: RefSeq, a predicted model, not a curated record